This 385-nucleotide long non-coding RNA is filed under the name Equus caballus (horse). Its description in RNAcentral is "lncRNA (ENSECAG00000059646.1)". The record is from RNAcentral. Lineage: Eukaryota; Metazoa; Chordata; Mammalia; Perissodactyla; Equidae.
GAAUGAGAUUAGUGCCCUUAUAACAGAGACCCCAGAGAGAUCCCUUACUCCUUCCACCAUGAGAGGACACAAUGAAAAGAUGGCAGUCUGUGAACUAGGAAGUGGGCCCUCUGCAGACACCAAAUCUACUGGCACCUGGAUCUUGAACUUCCAAGCCUCCGAAACUGGUAUCCUUGGGCAGUAGUGAAAUUUCCAGGACUAUUAUUCUACUGAGAAGGCACACAUAGAUCUGAGUCCUUCUGAAUUUCAUUGUGUCGUGAUCACUGUGAAAUAGGAAGUACCUGUGGGAAAUGCAAACUUCCUGCUCUUCCUUACUUUAAUCCCAGAUAGCCUACUUCUGGCUCAUACGCAGCAAAAUAAUACUUCUGUAUUCUCAGCACUUACG